Molecule: long non-coding RNA, 466 nt
Filed under: Ananas comosus (pineapple)
Lineage: Eukaryota; Viridiplantae; Streptophyta; Magnoliopsida; Poales; Bromeliaceae
Description: long non-coding RNA (ACOM_LNC028834)
Source: RNAcentral
GGAUUUUCAAAAAUCCAAACCUGAACCCGAUUGCCCGACUGGAAACUCAAAUCCGAAUCCGAAGGAUUUUAAAAAUCCAUAUCCAAACCAAAACCCGACCGAAAUUGAAAUCUGAACACAAACCCGAAAAUCCAAACCCAAACUCUUUAUCAUAUUUCAAAACAUAUUACAUUGAAUCUAAAUUCUCAAAAUGCAAAAUUCAAAUAUAACAUCAAAUUUUUAUGCAAAAUCAAUACGGAUUUGGAUUGGGUUCAGGUUUGGGUCAGGUACAAACAAAAUACAUACCCGAAUCCAAAUCCGUCGGAUUUUCGGUUUCUAUAUCCAUAUCCGAAACUACAUCCAUUUAGCAUAAGGCAAAUCCGUUUCAUUCGGGUUCGAAUUCUGAUAAAAUUUCGGAUAUUCAUAACCAUCGACAUCCCUAGUCAUAAUUCGGUAGUUUCUGAUCAAUUUCGGCAUCGACUUUUUC